RNAcentral lists this ribosomal RNA (1584 nucleotides) under Triticum aestivum (bread wheat). Its description in RNAcentral is "partial small subunit ribosomal RNA". The record is from RNAcentral. Lineage: Eukaryota; Viridiplantae; Streptophyta; Magnoliopsida; Poales; Poaceae.
AUGGCAGUGGCGGCUGAGGGUGGGAGCGUGGAGGAGGGCGUGGGGGAGAGCUCUUCUCCUCCGCGUGAGGCGCCGCCCGCGCCCGCAGUGUCGGGCGGGAGCGGCGGAGGCGGGGGAGCCCCCCGCGACAUCUGCACCCAGGUGUUCGAGCGGCUCGUCGCCGACGGCAACGAGGAGGUGGCAGGCCCCGACUUCCGCGUCCAGCUCGAGGCCCAUUUCGCGCGGCUUCCAUUCAGCUAUCAACUUGAUAUCAAUGUCGACAAAUCAGCAGAUGUCUUGGUCCAUCAGAAGGUCUUGGCGGAAGCAAAGGAUCCUCUGAGGCGCCCUGCUUUCCGUGUCCGUUUUUUGAGGGUUGAAGACAUGGAUUCAGCAUAUGGCUCUGAUGCAUCUGAUGAAGGGGCUGAUGAUGGUGAUGAUCUCUCUGUAAGGCAGGACACACCGUACACACACAUUCAUGAGAUAGUUUUCUCCACAAUUGACAAGCCAAAGCUCCUUAGUCAGCUGUCUGCCUUGCUAUCAGACAUUGGGCUGAACAUCAGGGAAGCACAUGUUUUCUCUACCGUAGAUGGCUAUUCUCUUGAUGUUUUUGUUGUUGAUGGUUGGCCCAUUGAGGAUACUGAUGGUUUACAUAAGGCACUUGAAGCAUCUGUUUUAAGGAAUGAGGGUUCAUGGUCUGGUUCAUCUCACUCCUCAGCUGCGGAAAGAACACUGCCAUUCCAGGUAAAAGGUGGGGAAUGGGAAAUUGACAAGCGGCUUCUGAAGAUGGGAGAGAUGAUUGCUUCUGGUUCUUGUGGAGACUUGUUCCAUGGGACUUACUUUGGCGAGGAUGUUGCUGUUAAAGUUCUAAAAGCCGAGCAUUUGAAUAAUAAUGUUUGGAACGAGUUUACACAAGAAGUAUAUAUUCUAAGGGAAGUUCAUCAUACCAAUGUUGUGCGAUUCAUUGGUGCAUGCACAAAACCACCAAAAUUUUGCAUAAUUACAGAAUACAUGUCUGGAGGAAGUCUGUAUGAUUAUGUGCACAAGCAGCGUAAUGUCGUUGAUCUCCCAACUCUGCUGAAGUUUGCAUGUGAUAUAUGCCGAGGGAUGUGUUACUUGCAUCAGAGGGGCAUUAUCCACAGAGACUUAAAGACAGCAAACCUUCUAAUGGACAAAGAUCAUGUUGUUAAAGUAGCAGAUUUUGGUGUAGCUCGGUUCCAGGAUCAAGGUGGUAUCAUGACAGCUGAAACUGGAACAUACAGAUGGAUGGCGCCUGAGGUUAUAAAUCAUCAACCCUAUGAUAACAAAGCAGAUGUAUUUAGUUUCGCUAUUGUGCUUUGGGAACUCCUGACGUCCAAGAUCCCAUAUGAUACCAUGACACCUCUGCAAGCAGCUGUAGGUGUUAGGCAGGGGCUGCGCCCAGUGCUGCCAGAAAAGACACAUCCCAAGCUAUUAGACUUGCUGCAGAGAUGUUGGGAAACCAUCCCAUCAAAUCGGCCUGCUUUCUCAGAUAUAUUAACUGAACUAGAGGGUCUUCUGGCAGAAGUUCAGGUUACUUCAGGUGAAACGAGCAAACAACCGAAGGAUAUCUCGGCCUCGACAGACUGA